GCGGGUGUAGUUUAAUGGUAGAACAUCAGCUUCCCAAGCUGAGAGCGCGAGUUCGAUUCUCGUCACCCGCUCCA
This 74-nucleotide transfer RNA is filed under the name Streptomyces actuosus. Its description in RNAcentral is "tRNA-Gly". It matches the Rfam family "tRNA". Rfam says of the family: Transfer RNA (tRNA) molecules are approximately 80 nucleotides in length. Their secondary structure includes four short double-helical elements and three loops (D, anti-codon, and T loops). The record is from RNAcentral. RNAcentral also lists the same sequence under 2477 other names. Lineage: Bacteria; Bacillati; Actinomycetota; Actinomycetes; Kitasatosporales; Streptomycetaceae.